GGCGGUAUGGCCGAGCGGUAAGGCGGGGGACUGCAAAUCCUUUAACUUCGGUUCGAAUCCGGAUGUCGCCU
Molecule: transfer RNA, 71 nt
Filed under: Lobelia spicata
Lineage: Eukaryota; Viridiplantae; Streptophyta; Magnoliopsida; Asterales; Campanulaceae
Description: tRNA-Cys
Rfam family: tRNA
About the family: Transfer RNA (tRNA) molecules are approximately 80 nucleotides in length. Their secondary structure includes four short double-helical elements and three loops (D, anti-codon, and T loops). Further hydrogen bonds mediate the characteristic L-shaped molecular structure. tRNAs have two regions of fundamental functional importance: the anti-codon, which is responsible for specific mRNA codon recognition, and the 3' end, to which the tRNAs corresponding amino acid is attached (by aminoacyl-tRNA synthetases). tRNAs cope with the degeneracy of the genetic code in two manners: having more than one tRNA (with a specific anti-codon) for a particular amino acid; and 'wobble' base-pairing, i.e. permitting non-standard base-pairing at the 3rd anti-codon position.
Source: RNAcentral